This 63-nucleotide transfer RNA is filed under the name Ictidomys tridecemlineatus (thirteen-lined ground squirrel). RNAcentral's name for it is "Spermophilus tridecemlineatus (thirteen-lined ground squirrel) tRNA". It matches the Rfam family "tRNA", at positions 5 to 66 of the family's 71-position model. Rfam says of the family: Transfer RNA (tRNA) molecules are approximately 80 nucleotides in length. Their secondary structure includes four short double-helical elements and three loops (D, anti-codon, and T loops). The record is from Rfam by way of RNAcentral. Lineage: Eukaryota; Metazoa; Chordata; Mammalia; Rodentia; Sciuridae.
AUGUAGCUCAGUGGUAGAGCAUUUGCCUAGCAUGUGAGGGGCCCUGGGUUUAAUUCCUAGUAU